This 890-nucleotide ribosomal RNA is filed under the name Pseudoalteromonas sp. DEM25. RNAcentral describes it as "bacterial SSU rRNA". It matches the Rfam family "Bacterial small subunit ribosomal RNA", at positions 95 to 988 of the family's 1533-position model. Lineage: Bacteria; Pseudomonadati; Pseudomonadota; Gammaproteobacteria; Alteromonadales; Pseudoalteromonadaceae. The record is from RNAcentral.
GCGGCGGACGGGUGAGUAAUGCUUGGGAAUAUGCCUUAGGGUGGGGGACAACAGUUGGAAACGACUGCUAAUACCGCAUAACGUCUACGGACCAAAGGGGGCUUCGGCUCUCGCCCUUAGAUUAGCCCAAGUGGGAUUAGCUAGUUGGUGAGGUAAUGGCUCACCAAGGCGACGAUCCCUAGCUGGUUUGAGAGGAUGAUCAGCCACACUGGAACUGAGACACGGUCCAGACUCCUACGGGAGGCAGCAGUGGGGAAUAUUGCACAAUGGGCGCAAGCCUGAUGCAGCCAUGCCGCGUGUGUGAAGAAGGCCUUAGGGUUGUAAAGCACUUUCAGUAAGGAGGAAAGGUUAGUAGUUAAUACCUGCUAGCUGUGACGUUACUUACAGAAGAAGCACCGGCUAACUCCGUGCCAGCAGCCGCGGUAAUACGGAGGGUGCGAGCGUUAAUCGGAAUUACUGGGCGUAAAGCGUACGCAGGCGGUUUGUUAAGCGAGAUGUGAAAGCCCCGGGCUCAACCUGGGAACUGCAUUUCGAACUGGCAAACUAGAGUAUGAUAGAGGGUGGUAGAAUUUCAGGUGUAGCGGUGAAAUGCGUAGAGAUCUGAAGGAAUACCGAUGGCGAAGGCAGCCACCUGGGUCAAUACUGACGCUCAUGUACGAAAGCGUGGGGAGCAAACGGGAUUAGAUACCCCGGUAGUCCACGCCGUAAACGAUGUCUACUAGGAGCUGGGGUCUUCGGACAACUUUUCCAAAGCUAACGCAUUAAGUAGACCGCCUGGGGAGUACGGCCGCAAGGUUAAAACUCAAAUGAAUUGACGGGGGCCCGCACAAGCGGUGGAGCAUGUGGUUUAAUUCGAUGCAACGCGAAGAACCUUACCUACACUUGACAUA